RNAcentral lists this transfer RNA (76 nucleotides) under Rhodospirillales bacterium. RNAcentral describes it as "tRNA-Asn". It matches the Rfam family "tRNA". From Rfam's summary of the family: Transfer RNA (tRNA) molecules are approximately 80 nucleotides in length. Their secondary structure includes four short double-helical elements and three loops (D, anti-codon, and T loops). Further hydrogen bonds mediate the characteristic L-shaped molecular structure. tRNAs have two regions of fundamental functional importance: the anti-codon, which is responsible for specific mRNA codon recognition, and the 3' end, to which the tRNAs corresponding amino acid is attached (by aminoacyl-tRNA synthetases). tRNAs cope with the degeneracy of the genetic code in two manners: having more than one tRNA (with a specific anti-codon) for a particular amino acid; and 'wobble' base-pairing, i.e. permitting non-standard base-pairing at the 3rd anti-codon position. Lineage: Bacteria; Pseudomonadati; Pseudomonadota; Alphaproteobacteria; Rhodospirillales. The record is from RNAcentral.
UCCGGAGUAGCUCAGUUGGUAGAGCAGACGGCUGUUAACCGUCUUGUCGGGGGUUCGAGUCCCUCCUCCGGAGCCA